Molecule: non-coding RNA, 1036 nt
Organism: Cucurbita pepo subsp. pepo (vegetable marrow)
Lineage: Eukaryota; Viridiplantae; Streptophyta; Magnoliopsida; Cucurbitales; Cucurbitaceae
Source: RefSeq, a predicted model, not a curated record
GAACAGUCGUAAAAGCUUUUUCUUCUGCUUCUUCUUCUUCUUCGUUGUCGUCGAUUUCUCUUUCUCUCUCUCUCUCUCUAUCUAAAACUGGCGCAUAGAAUGAGUUUGAUCACAAAGAAACAUAGAAUGUCAUGGAAGCAAUCAACGAGAAGAGCGGUUUUGCGAUCGAGGUACGGUUCUAGGAUCCUCAGAGCUCGUAGAAUCCACAAAAAUGGCGGAAAAGCGUGCUCAUCAGACGUAUCGGCGAGGCUUGAGGCGCUCCAGAGUCUCAUUCCGACUCAGAACAACGGCGAAGGACAUCACCGGAGAUCGGAGGAGUUGUUUCAAGAGACGGCGGAUUACAUCGUGCUUUUGAAGAAUCAGGUGUUCGUUUUGCAGAGGCUGAUCGAGUUUUACGGAUCCGAUGAGAGAGAAAAUGCCGUAUCAGCGUAGUUUACUCUUCUUGAUUCAGAGAAAAGGAAAUUGAGAAGAGAAGACGGUCGGAACGAUCGAUAACUUUCUGGAAUUUUCAUUUUGCAUGCCGUGUUUGGUUGGAGAGAACGUGGAGAGAAUUUGAAUAGCGAAGUUUAGAAUUUCUUUCUUUCGUUUCUUCUUUUUAAAAAUAUUCAUUACAUCAAUACGAGUUCAUUUUGACACGCACCGAAUCAAUCAUAUGCACAUCCAAACUUCAUUGACUGUCCUCUCUGAUUUAGGCAAGUUUUGUAGGUUUUCAGCAACAAAAUACGCACAAGAGAAGUUGAAAUCUCAGGUACAUACAACCGUUGGAUUUCAAUUUCUCUACUCAAGAAUUCUCCAGAAAAGUGAGAUGGACAUCAGAAGCCACAGUCUGUGUCUCAAUGGUUGGGCUCUGAUGUUGACAAGUUUUUAGAGAGAGAUAGAGAGGAGAGGAAAGGGAAGGCCAUGUGCUAAAGCCAACUUUCAAGGGAUGUGUCUGAUUGGAUUUAGGUUUUGGCUGAAUAGUCAUAAUACCCACACACACUUCAUACUUCACACCUAUGUCUGGAUGUGUUUUUCUGAAUAAAUAUUCUUCCUUAAA